UAGGGAAUCUUCCACAAUGGACGCAAGUCUGAUGGAGCAACGCCGCGUGAGUGAAGAAGGUUUUCGGACCGUAAAGCUCUGUUGUUGGUGAAGAAGGAUAGAGGUAGUAACUGGCCUUUAUUUGACGGUAAUCAACCAGAAAGUCACGGCUAACUACGUGCCAGCAGCCGCGGUAAUACGUAGGUGGCAAGCGUUGUCCGGAUUUAUUGGGCGUAAAGCGAGCGCAGGCGGAAGAAUAAGUCUGAUGUGAAAGCCCUCGGCUUAACCGAGGAAUUGCAUUGGAAACUGUUUUUCUUGAGUGCAGAAAGAGGAGAGUAGAACUCCAUGUGUAGCGGUGGAAUGCGUAGAUAUAUGGAAGAAUACCAGUGGCGAAGGCGGCUCUCUGGUCUGCAACUGACGCUGAGGCUCGAAAGCAUGGGUAGCGAACAGGAUUAGAUACCCUGGUAGUCCAUGCCGUAAACGAUGAGUGCUAAG
Molecule: ribosomal RNA, 474 nt
Filed under: uncultured bacterium
Lineage: Bacteria
Description: partial 16S ribosomal RNA
Rfam family: Bacterial small subunit ribosomal RNA
Source: RNAcentral